This 75-nucleotide transfer RNA is filed under the name Polyangiaceae bacterium. Its description in RNAcentral is "tRNA-Thr". It matches the Rfam family "tRNA". From Rfam's summary of the family: Transfer RNA (tRNA) molecules are approximately 80 nucleotides in length. Their secondary structure includes four short double-helical elements and three loops (D, anti-codon, and T loops). Lineage: Bacteria; Pseudomonadati; Myxococcota; Polyangiales; Polyangiaceae. The record is from RNAcentral. RNAcentral also lists the same sequence under 2 other names.
GCCACCCUAGCUCAGGGGUAGAGCAACGGUUUCGUAAACCGUAGGUCUGGGGUUCAAUUCCCCAGGGUGGCUCCA